CUUAAUUCUGUAUUCUACGGAUUUCUAUUCUGUUUAUAGUUCAUUCAUUUAACACAAUGAAAAUAGUGUAUGUGACAACCAUUGCUGGAUUUUUAUUGCUAAGUAUAAUUAUUUUUUUGAAGAUAUCCAACACUUCAUUAAUUUACCUCUCCUUACCAAAAUUAGAAAAAAAAAUCAAAUUCUCCAGACUUAUUUUUUUCCCCAAAUACUUUUUUCUAUCUACAUCUCAUAUAACUGGAUAUCUUUCAAGCUUAUUAGGAAAUCAUUGUACAAUAUCAUUCUGAGUUUUUAGACAUUUCUACCAAAUUUCAAGCAAACCUAACCAUAUGAUUUCAUUAUUAUCCAGUGAUUAAUAUCUACUUUUUAUUAGUUUUAGAAUUUUAGCAUAUGCUAGAUAUAUUAUUUCAAGAUCUUUGUGAGAAACCUCCCAGUUUUAAUUCUAAAACAGUUAUUUAAUCUUGCUUCUAUAGCUCUAGUUAAGAAAGUUGGAAGUUUCUGAAAUAUAUGAGAGUUUCAAAACCAAAAACAUCCUAUCUCAGUAUCUUUUGUAGCUUUCAUAUGUAAUUGAAAAGUAUUAGAGGUUAAAAAAAUACUGCAUUCACUUCACCUUCCUUAAUGUAGUUUUAGAAUGUAUUUAGAUUCAGUAUUGGAAAAAAAUCAAGGGACUUAACUCUGCUGGUACACAUUUCAAGAAGAUAAAUAGACUCCUGAAUGGUAGAUUCUGGUAUCUUCCACUAAGCCAUGUAUGCCCCCAUCCCUUUUUAAAAAGAAAAAAAAAUUAUUUAGAGACAGGGUCUCACUGAGUUGCUUAGGGCCUCACUAAGUUGCUGAGACUGGCUUUGAACUCGUGAUGCUCCUGCCUCAGUCUCCCAAGCCCCUGGGAUUACAGGCAGGCACCACCGUGUCCGGCUUACAUUCAUUCUUAAAUUUCUAUCUUAGUAAUAAUCAUAACUAUCAUUUAUUUUCACUGUGCAGUACUGUUAUAUCGACUUUUGUCAUUCCUUAUAGUUUUCCUUGUGAACUUUGCUUUAUUCUUGUUACAAAUGAGGAAACUAAUUACUGACCAAACAUCAUUUUAUCAUUUUGUAGCACCAAAAUAUUUAUAUUAGACUUCAGACACAUUCUAAUUCAAAACACACUCAGGAUAAAGAAUUUUUGUCAAUCUAUACUUCAAUAAAGCACUACUAAAAUCAUGGCUCUGAUAGCUUUUUAAUAAGUUUCUGAAAGUGUAUAAGGAUAGAAAAACAAAAAAUUCCAGUUCUUUAUAAGGAACAUAAAAUAUAAUUGAAGUCAUUCUUUUCAUUGUCUAGCAAAAAUGACAUUUGGACCCUUUUUUUUUUUUUUUUUAACUUUGUUUAUCUUUAUUUGGUGUUGAGGAUCGAACCCAGUGCCUCACAUUUGUGAGGCAAAUGCUCUGCCACUGAGCCACAACCCCAGCCCUGGACCUUCUUUAUACUGAGCUUUAACUUGUGUGGUAUUAUCUUUUCAUUUUGUUACAUUAAGUUUGGAGUUUCCAACAAUAUGUGACACAAUGAAUAUUUACUAUAAAAAUUACAUAAAUGUGUUGGUAGUGAAACAUCUCUAAACAAAGGGGAGUUUUUGCUUUCUAGUGCUUUGGUGUGUAUAUACACAUUACCUUCUGGACUCUGUCAUACAACAUUUUUAUAAUUACAUUACACAUGUAGGACUAAGUUUAAUGUUCUCUUUUUAGUACUAUUUAAAGUGAGAAGUAUUUUUAGUAUGAGAAUGGACAACUUUUGAAUUCUUUGAAUGCCUAAAUUAUUUUAUGCUUGUACUAUAAAAAAACUACUAAGGUAAAGUACUUUUUUAUCCACCUAAUCAGAAUAGAUUUUUACAUCUUUUAAUUAAGAGAAAAAGAGCAAAAAAUUUUUUUUCUAUUUUACUAUUUAAGUGAUUUUCAUAUCAAUCCCAAGUAAAUAUACUUGCAAGCCAUAUACUUAUAUUUACUCUUAUCAUCAUAUGGGAUUUAGGCCAGUGCAUUAUGACCUACAGAGUUUUGGAAACAUUUUUAAAAUGCCAAAGAAAUACUCUGUAUAGUAUAUUACAGCUCAGAAGGGAAAGUUUGUUAAAAAUGGUUCUGGCUUAUAAAAACAAUCUAAAUAAUUAGUGAAAUGGAAUAAGUCUGUGGUCUUGAAUAAUUUUCUUAGAUAAGCUAAAAGUAAUUCAGUUGAAAGUAAAGAUUCUAACACCUGGAUUUCUGUUUAAGCUAUUCUAUAUUAUGUAACAACUGAGAGAUUGGAAUAACUUAGUGUAAUAACUUCAAAGAGAAAAGGCAAGAUCUAGGUUUAACAUGCAUUAAGAUAUGCCUUCUUAUGUAGAUGGAUAUGAUGGAUAAAUGAUACUUUGUUAUUCACCUGCUGUAAAGCUUAUUCUUUUGUCAAAGCUGAAUUUGACAAGUUUUGGGUUGAGUUCUUUCAGUUUAUGUAUAUAGCAUUUUCUUAGAGAACUUGUAAUUAAAUUCUGUAUCAUUUAGUAGAUUGUUAGAAUGUAUUGUUUAAAGGACUGAAAUGAAUUAUGUAACUCAAUUGAUUUUCUCACAAUGGCAAAAAAAUAUUUGUACUUCGAUGCCUUACAUUCUUCGGCCAACCAACCAAAAUUGCAGCAAUGACAUAGAAUUUUUCAGUUUGGUGCUACUGUUAAAGCUUACAUUCUUUUGCUGCCUUUUUUUUUUUUUUUUUAAAUAAAUUCAUAUAUUUUAGUAGUUAGAAGUAAAUGUAAAAUGUUUCUUAAGAAUGACUGCUAAAUUUUAUUUAGGUUUAUUCUUGUAGUGACAGCUAUUAUUUCUCAUACACCUUCAGUCCAGAAAUCUCCACUUAUGUGCCAUUAAUUAAUCUGUGCAUUAUCAUUCAUAUUAAAUUACAUCAAAAUAUUUAGAAAAUCAAAUACGUAUUUCUGUAAUGACAGAAAUUAGGAGCUUUUCCAAAAAUGUUUUUAUUAAGACAUUAUAGUUGUACAUAAAAGUGAGGCUCAUUUUGACAUAAUUGUACAAGAAUGGAAUAUUGUUUACUCCAGUACUUCCUCUUUUCUCUCACCUAUUCCCUUUUCUCCUACCUCUUUUUUACUGGUUUUUCUUUUAUUUAUUUAUUUAUUGAUUGAUUGAUUGUUAUUUUAAUUGGUCCUUUAUAGAUAUAUAAAGGUGAAAUUCACUGUGUUAUAUUCAUGUACUUACAUAGCAUCAGUGUCAUGUCAUAGUUCUAGAGGGUUUUUUCUAGUAUUAUUCUAAAAUCAUAUUCCUUUUUCCACAUUUAUCACUGUAGAGUUUGUGCUGAAGGAUUUCUUGGCCAUUUUAGACUAUAAUCUAGUUAAAAGGUUUGUUUAUGCUUCCCAUCCCUGUUCUGCUGAUGGUAUUAGAAUGCAGGCCAGAGCCAGACAUCUAACUGUUUAUAACAUUCAAACUUCAAUUAAAGCUACAGUGUUCACUUUAUUAUAUAUCAGAAAGCUCAUACCAGCUAAAAAUAUCAUAUGUAAUGAUGGUAAUGAUCUUAUGUGGCCAUAAGAUAUCCUAAAUCUUACUACUCUUUAAGAAUAUUUUUUUCAUUUAUGAAGUUUUAAUAAUAUAUUCUUUUAGGAUUGUCAAGUGAAGGUUAUUUUCCAUUAGAAGUAAUAUAGAUUUUCCUUUAAAAUAUUUUUCAUUUCAUAAAAAUGAAGCCUAACAGCUUAUAUUAGUGCUUCAAUUGUCUAGUUUACUUGUCUUAAAAUUAAUACAUUGUCUAGACAUUGCUUUCCUAUUCAAUUGAUUUGAAUCCCCUUUGAAAAAUAUAGCAAUAUGUUGCCAAUUAGAAAAUAAAACUAAUAGUCAUAUUACUCCAGUUUCCUUGUAUGUUUGAAAAGAGUGUGGGUACACAUAACACAGAUUUUAAUUUAAUAUUAUAUUGCUUUUCUAAGCUGCUGCUCUUGCCGUUUUGGCUUUAUGUUUUUAAACAUGUUGAUAAACUGUUUUAAAGGUCUUUUUUUUAAGCUAUUAAGAAUAUUUUAAGUACAUUUCUUCAGCUGCCUCUCUGCUUUUGUCGUUUUCC
Molecule: long non-coding RNA, 4037 nt
Filed under: Marmota monax (woodchuck)
Lineage: Eukaryota; Metazoa; Chordata; Mammalia; Rodentia; Sciuridae
Source: RNAcentral